GAUUAGUUUGAUCCUGGCUCAGGAUGAACGCUAGCGACAGGCCUAACACAUGCAAGUCGAGGGGCAGCAUAAAGGUAGCAAUACUUUGGUGGCGACCGGCGCACGGGUGAGUAACACGUAUGCAACCUACCUGUAAGAGGGGAAUAACCCGGAGAAAUUCGGACUAAUACCGCAUAAUACUGAUUAUCUGCAUGGAUUGAUCAGUUAAACAUUUAUGGCUUACAGAUGGGCAUGCGUAUGAUUAGAUAGUUGGUAGGGUAACGGCCUACCAAGUCAACGAUCAUUAGGGGUUCUGAGAGGAAGGUCCCCCACACUGGUACUGAGACACGGACCAGACUCCUACGGGAGGCAGCAGUGAGGAAUAUUGGUCAAUGGGCGAGAGCCUGAACCAGCCAAGUCGCGUGAAGGAAGAAGGUUCUAUGGAUUGUAAACUUCUUUUGUAAGGGAAUAAAAAGAGUUACGUGUAACUUAUUGUAUGUACUUUACGAAUAAGGAUCGGCUAACUCCGUGCCAGCAGCCGCGGUAAUACGGAGGAUCCAAGCGUUAUCCGGAUUUAUUGGGUUUAAAGGGUCCGCAGGCGGGUAAAUAAGUCAGAGGUGAAAUCCGGCAGCUCAACUGUCGCACUGCCUUUGAUACUGUUUAUCUUGAAUUUUAGUGGAGUGGGCGGAAUAUGUCAUGUAGCGGUGAAAUGCUUAGAUAUGACGUGGAACACCGAUAGCGAAGGCAGCUCACUAACUAUGAAUUGACGCUCAUGGACGAAAGCGUGGGUAGCAAACAGGAUUAGAUACCCUGGUAGUCC
RNAcentral lists this ribosomal RNA (799 nucleotides) under uncultured bacterium. RNAcentral's name for it is "bacterial SSU rRNA". It matches the Rfam family "Bacterial small subunit ribosomal RNA", at positions 1 to 796 of the family's 1533-position model. The record is from RNAcentral.